This 2423-nucleotide small RNA is filed under the name Homo sapiens (human). RNAcentral's name for it is "novel transcript (ENSG00000292009.1)". Lineage: Eukaryota; Metazoa; Chordata; Mammalia; Primates; Hominidae. The record is from RNAcentral.
UAAAGAAAAAAUGAGGAAAUGCUGUGAAGAACUAAUAGAACGUUUCAGAAGCAGAACAAGUCGAGAGCAGUGAUGACCCUUUUGUUCCUGCUAGUACCUCCUGUCUGUCUGGCCGAACUCACCAUCAGAUGAUGUCUUGAACCUCACCUAGAUGGGCUGGUGGUGUGUGGCCAGGUUAAGAGCACCAACAGGAGUAAGAAAGUGACCUGCCUGGUUUUACCGUGUGUACUAGGGGAGGGGUUGAAAGCUUUCGGUUGAUACAUCACCUCUGGGAGUUGAAGAAGAAUGCAAUUAAGAGAGCUAAAGAAGUCAGUAUAGAAUCUGAAACUCAGAGGUCAACUGAUGUGUCAAAGAUACCUCCACAAAUCAGUACCUUGAUUAAAACUAAAAUUGGAGUCAUCUUCAUAUCUCCAUCUUUCUCCCUCUUCAUUAGGACCGAUUGUAGUCUGUUUCCCUCUCACUCACUUGCAAUCUUUAUUGCUUUAGUGUUGCAUUUGAUUUUUAUCUUUGUUUUUGUUUUAAAUACUGUCAUUAAAGUCAUAGAAAAAUCUAAAAUAAAACUGGUUGAAUAAAAAUUUUAAAAUCGACUCUAAUGUAAUAAACCAGACAAAAAUGAUACUUUAAAUGUUAUAUCUUCCCUUUAAACUACAAAUAUUCAUUGAGUGUAUACCCUGUAUUAGGCUGUUGGAAUAAAACAGGGAAGAAGACAGAAGAAACUGCACCGCCAUCUUAGAUCUUGCAGCCAAAUUCCUCUGAACUUUUCUCUAAAGACGUGCUCUGGAAAAAUGUUGAUCAGUUUCCUACAUCAUGGAGGUCUUUUCAUGACCACCUUUGUCUAGACAAUGUCCUGUUUUUAGGUGCACGUUUGAGGGCUGGAGUCUCUGACCCACAGUGCUGCAGCCUGCACGUGGUUUGUCCUGACUUCUUUGCUACUUCACUUUUCGUAAGGCUCUGAGAGUGCAGGCCCUUGUGGGUGGACACUGCAGGGUGAGAGGAAGAAGUAAACUACUUUUUUCCGUUUCUGAUGGGGGUGUGGGUCAGCAGCUAUAAGCAACAGGGACCAUGGGGGGCCUCAGACUUCAGCACCUGAGAGGCAGUUUCAGUCGUAUUGGGGAGAUGCAGGCAUCUGGGUUGCUGCACAUCACCAGGGCAGGGUUCUCUCAGCAGCCCUGGAGUGCAGAGUUCCCAUCAGCUCAGCAGUGAGGGGCACAUGGGGCUCCAGUGGUGAGGACUCUUGGUCCUUGGAUGACAACACUCCCCUGCCCACUUCUCCAGCCUUCCCUGUAACCCUUUGCCACCUCUAACCAAUCUUCUGUGUUACAUCUCUUCGGUUUGCAAUAUGUAGUGUUCGUAUAUGACUGGACAGUAUCUACUGGAGUUAAUAUCUAUCAGAGUAAUUAUAUCACAAUUGCAAUCUUCUCCUAAGAGUGAAUAGUGACAUUAAAAAUUUCAACAUUAUAAAUUAUGCAGAAAUAAAACUAAUUAUACAAAAAAUACACUCUGAAUGUCAGUUUUUCCCUGAGACAAUCUACCAUUUGAUAUACGGUGAUUCACACUUCUUAAUAUACAACAUUGAAUUACUUUUCCAAAAGCCUCUUCAAAUUUUGCUGCAGAAUUAAACUUCACUUGCACCAGCUCUGAAUUAUGUGUGCUUUUCCUUCUUGGUCAAUUUCAUAGGUGUAUCAUUAUUUGUCUUUUUUAAUUAAUAUGUUUAUAUAACUUUUCAUGUUUAUCCAUGUAACUACUGCUUUUGUGAAACGUGUGUUUUUAUCCUUUUCACAUUUUUUUCUAUUGAAAUGUUUUCUUUAUAAAUAUAAAUGUGUUUUUGGUAUGAAAAUAAUAACUGGCCAGAUGCGGUGGCUCACACCUGUAAUCCCAGCACUUUGAGAGGCCGAGGUGGGUGGAUCACCUGGCCUCAGGAGUUCGGGACCAGCCUGGCCAGCAUAGUGAAACCCCAUCUCUACUAAAACUACAAAAUUAGCUGGCGUGGUAGCACGUGCCCUGUAAUCCAAGCUACUUGGGAGGCUGAGACAGGAGACUCAGUCGAACCUAGGAGGCAGAAGUUGCAGCAAGCCAAGAUCACGCUAUUGCACUCCAGCCUGGGCAAAAAGAGCGAAACUCUGUCUCAAAAAGAAGAAAAAAAAUAGUAACUCUUUGUGAAUAGUAUCAACUAAAAUAUUUAUAUUUCAGUUUUCAUUCUGAUAUUUUGUUUCAUCAGAAUUUUUUAAAGUAUUUUGUUUAAUAUAUUAACUUUAAUAAUUUCAUUAACUGUCUCGUGCUUACAAAGUCUUUAUGCAUUUGGGGAUUAUGUAAAGCAUCUACCUUUACACUUUUAAUGAGUUUCAGAGGUUUUUUGGUACCUUUGAGUUAUAAUACAAAAAUAAUUUAUUUGGGUGUGAUAUGCAGUGAAUUGCUAACAUUAU